UUAAGUAGACCGCCUGGGGAGUACGGCCGCAAGGUUAAAACUCAAAUGAAUUGACGGGGGCCCGCACAAGCGGUGGAGCAUGUGGUUUAAUUCGAUGCAACGCGAAGAACCUUACCUGGUCUUGACAUCCACGGAAGUUUUCAGAGAUGAGAAUGUGCCUUCGGGAACCGUGAGACAGGUGCUGCAUGGCUGUCGUCAGCUCGUGUUGUGAAAUGUUGGGUUAAGUCCCGCAACGAGCGCAACCCUUAUCCUUUGUUGCCAGCGAUUCGGUCGGGAACUCAAAGGAGACUGCCAGUGAUAAACUGGAGGAAGGUGGGGAUGACGUCAAGUCAUCAUGGCCCUUACGACCAGGGCUACACACGUGCUACAAUGGCGCAUACAAAGAGAAGCGACCUCGCGAGAGCAAGCGGACCUCAUAAAGUGCGUCGUAGUCCGGAUUGGAGUCUGCAACUCGACUCCAUGAAGUCGGAAUCGCUAGUAAUCGUGGAUCAGAAUGCCACGGUGAAUACGUUCCCGGGCCUUGUACACACCGCCCGUCACACCAUGGGAGUGGGUUGCAAAAGAAGUAGGUAGCUUAACCUUCGGGAGGGCGCUUACCACUUUGUGAUUCAUGACUGGGGUGAAGUCGUAACAAGGUAACCGUAGGGGAACCUGC
RNAcentral lists this ribosomal RNA (655 nucleotides) under Salmonella enterica subsp. enterica serovar Agona. RNAcentral describes it as "bacterial SSU rRNA". It matches the Rfam family "Bacterial small subunit ribosomal RNA", at positions 860 to 1515 of the family's 1533-position model. The record is from RNAcentral. Lineage: Bacteria; Pseudomonadati; Pseudomonadota; Gammaproteobacteria; Enterobacterales; Enterobacteriaceae.